RNAcentral lists this ribosomal RNA (506 nucleotides) under uncultured bacterium. Its description in RNAcentral is "partial 16S ribosomal RNA". It matches the Rfam family "Bacterial small subunit ribosomal RNA", at positions 28 to 523 of the family's 1533-position model. The record is from RNAcentral.
GAUGAACGCUUGCUACAGGCUUAACACAUGCAAGUCGAGGGGUAACGAGAGGAAAGCUUGCUUUCCUUGUCGACGACCGGCGCACGGGUGAGUAACGCGUAUCCAACCUGCCCCCAACUAGGGAAUAACCUUGCGAAAGUAAGACUAAUACCCUAUAAUUUCCUCAGAUGUCAUCUGACGAGGAAUAAAGAUUUAUCGGUUGUGGAUGGGGAUGCGUCUGAUUAGCUUGUUGGCGGGGUAACGGCCCACCAAGGCAACGAUCAGUAGGGGUUCUGAGAGGAAGGUCCCCCACAUUGGGACUGAGACACGGUCCAAACUCCUACGGGAGGCAGCAGUGAGGAAUAUUGGUCAAUGGGCGGAAGCCUGAACCAGCCAAGUAGCGUGCAGGAUGACGGCCCUAUGGGUUGUAAACUGCUUUUAUACAGGAAUAAAGUUAGCCACGUGUGGUUAUUUGUAGGUACUGUAUGAAUAAGGACCGGCUAAUUCCGUGCCAGCCGCCGCAGUAA